UUGGCCCUGAAUCAAGGCCAGCAGCUUGCUGAAGCUGUUGGUUUCAAGCAGGUGCCUAAAGAAAUGUCUUUCUGUGGUCUGUUGGCCAUCUCAGAAAUGUAAAAAUGGUAUGGUCAAUUCAUUAGAAAGAAACAUCU
Molecule: small nucleolar RNA, 137 nt
Filed under: Neotoma lepida (desert woodrat)
Lineage: Eukaryota; Metazoa; Chordata; Mammalia; Rodentia; Cricetidae
Source: RNAcentral